GGUGCAGUGGUGCAGUGGGUAGCACUGUAAUCCCACAAUACAUGGGUUAUGGGUUCAAAUCCAGUCUGGGGCC
Non-coding RNA from Gymnothorax javanicus (giant moray), 73 nucleotides. The record is from the annotation of a GenBank genome assembly. NCBI's taxonomy places the organism in Eukaryota, Metazoa, Chordata, Actinopteri, Anguilliformes, Muraenidae.